CGCACAGUAAACGAUGAAUACUAGCUGUUGGCGAUAUACAGUCAGUGGCACAGCGAAAGCGUUAAGUAUUCCACCUGGGGAGUACGCCGGCAACGGUGAAACUCAAAGGAAUUGACGGGGGCCCGCACAAGCGGAGGAACAUGUGGUUUAAUUCGAUGAUACGCGAGGAACCUUACCCGGGCUUGAAUUGCAUUUGAAUGUAGCGGAAACGUUGCAGCCAGCAAUGGCAAAUGUGAAGGUGC
RNAcentral lists this ribosomal RNA (242 nucleotides) under uncultured Bacteroidales bacterium. RNAcentral describes it as "partial 16S ribosomal RNA". It matches the Rfam family "Bacterial small subunit ribosomal RNA", at positions 796 to 1041 of the family's 1533-position model. Lineage: Bacteria; Pseudomonadati; Bacteroidota; Bacteroidia; Bacteroidales. The record is from RNAcentral.